Molecule: ribosomal RNA, 399 nt
Filed under: uncultured bacterium
Lineage: Bacteria
Description: bacterial SSU rRNA
Rfam family: Bacterial small subunit ribosomal RNA
Source: RNAcentral
UAGGGGGCGUAGCAAUACGUCACCGGCGGACGGGUGCGUAACACGUGGGAAUGUACCUAUUGGUUCGGAACAACGCAGGGAAACUUGCGCUAAUACCGAAUGUGCCCUUACGGGGAAAGAUUUAUCGCCAAUGGAUCAGCCCGCGUCCGAUUAGCUAGUUGGUGGGGUAAAAGCCCACCAAGGCGACGAUCGGUAGCUGUUCUGAGAGGAAGAUCAGCCACACUGGGACUGAGACACGGCCCAGACUCCUACGGGAGGCAGCAGUUGGGAAUCUUGGACAAUGGGGGAAACCCUGAUCCAGCCAUGCCGCGUGAGUGAUGAAGGCCUUCGGGUUGUAAAACUCUUUCGACGGGGACGAUAAUGACGGUACCCGUAGAAGAAGCUCCGGCUAACUUCGUG